CAGCCGCCAGGGAAUACGAAGGGUGCAAGCGUUACUCGGAAUUACUGGGCGUAAAGCGUGCGUAGGUGGUGGUUUAAGUCCGUUGUGAAAGCCCUGGGCUCAACCUGGGAAUUGCAGUGGAUACUGGGUCACUAGAGUGUGGUAGAGGAUAGUGGAAUUUCCGGUGUAGCAGUGAAAUGCGUAGAGAUCGGAAGGAACAUCUGUGGCGAAGGCGACUAUCUGGGCCAACACUGACACUGAGGCACGAAAGCGUGGGGAGCAAACAGGAUUAGAUACCCCCGUAGUCCCUGUCUCUUAUACA
This 301-nucleotide ribosomal RNA is filed under the name uncultured bacterium. Its description in RNAcentral is "partial 16S ribosomal RNA". It matches the Rfam family "Bacterial small subunit ribosomal RNA", at positions 512 to 808 of the family's 1533-position model. The record is from RNAcentral.